Molecule: transfer RNA, 22 nt
Filed under: Rachovia maculipinnis
Lineage: Eukaryota; Metazoa; Chordata; Actinopteri; Cyprinodontiformes; Rivulidae
Description: partial tRNA-Ile
Source: RNAcentral
GGUUGAAACCCCUUCAACUCCC